AUGUACCAGCCGCGUGAAACAAGUCCUGUCCCCCAUCAGUUGGGCCAUGGGUACAUUCACCAGAUCCGCGCCACCGCCUCUUCUCCCGCCCCCAUCACCUCCUCGGCCUCCCCGCCGCCCCCUCCGCACGACGCCACUGCCACCACCUUCGCGGUGGCUCCCCAGACGCCGCCGCAGCCGUGGAUCCCAGGGGCGUCGCCACCGCCACCGCAGAUCCCCACACGCCAUCGCCGCCACGUAUCCCCAUGGACGACGCAGAUGCUGCCGCUGCCACAAAUCCCCAUGGACAACGUUGACGCCGCCGCCGCCGAUCCUCACGUACGCCCCAGACGCCGCCGACCAGUGCAAAGCGUGGUCGCGUUCUCUGCACGGCCAUACGGACCAUCGCUUUGCCUGAGGUCGCCUGUCAUGGCUGCCACCUGCGUCGGCGGGAACGACUCUCUGAUGGCACCUGAGGACUCCAUAGGUGAUUUGCUAUACUGCUUCGAGACGGCACUGCCCACCGCCUGGUACGAGGUGCCGUCGGUGCUGCACAUGAUGGCAAUGCUCCGUUUAUCACGAGCAAAUUACCUUCUCCUGCCAAAGAUGUCUCUUGAAGGAUACCAUGCCAAAGUAUCUGAAGAGAACAAACGCGCUUCUGUCGAGAUAUUCCUUAAGGAGGCUGGGCACCUGGAGAAAGGUUUUCCUGUGGACCUGUCUGAAGGGGUCCUGAAAGCUACCUGCAUGCAAGCACUUGGUCAGUAUUUUGCUUUUGAUGCCCUGAGGUGA
RNAcentral lists this ribosomal RNA (768 nucleotides) under Triticum aestivum (bread wheat). RNAcentral's name for it is "partial small subunit ribosomal RNA". Lineage: Eukaryota; Viridiplantae; Streptophyta; Magnoliopsida; Poales; Poaceae. The record is from RNAcentral.